Long non-coding RNA from Haemorhous mexicanus (house finch), 993 nucleotides. RefSeq lists it as uncharacterized. Lineage: Eukaryota; Metazoa; Chordata; Aves; Passeriformes; Fringillidae. The record is from RefSeq and is a predicted model, not a curated record. The transcript is spliced from 2 exons.
UGCCUGGCAGGUGAUAUACAGCUGCUGGAGGAGUUCUCCCAGCAAUAGGAGACCUUCCCCAUGGCAGAGAGACAGCAGGGGGUUAUUCAGCAGCCGUGACUCAUCUGUACCUGCAUCUGGAAGGACUCUGUCCCCUCCCCGCCAUAGCAAGACAUUUUAUUCUUCCCUUCUUUGCAUGCCAGCCUUGUUUUAAUUAGCUGUAUUUUUAAUCUUUGUGAGCAGAGUGAAAUCCCAAGCAAGGAAGUGGUUUUAUCCUGCUGGAAAACUUAAUUAAUGCUCCAUCAGAGAGUUUGAUUUCCAAGCAUGAUGAAGGAAUCCUCCCUGGGGUGUUGGAGCUGCAGUCAUCGUCACCUCUUCCAGGUUGGAUCCCAGCUCCUGGAGAGCCAUUCCCAGUGUGCCUGCAGCACUGACCUCUGUGCUGGAGGCACGGACUGAGGGAAUUAUGUUUGCUUCAUUCCCAACAAGAGCCAAGAGCUGGAAAAAUGAAAAAAUCCAAGCUGCCAGGAGCUCUGUCACUGGGAGCUCCUGAACCCAGCCCAGGCACUGUGACCUGCCCAGGCUGCCUGGCUCUGGGUCCAGGGGCUCCCAGGGAGGCUGGAGAGUUGUGGGGAGCCCUUUCCUUGGGUUUCCCCUGGAAUUGCCUCAGGAUGAGCCCUGGGGAGGGCAGGCAGGGGGAGAUACCUGUGGGAUGUAUCUCCUGCCCAGCUCUGGGCUCAUCCACUGCAGCUGCAGCAGGAGCAGCAGAUCCCUGGAGAACAGAGUGGGAAGACAGCCUGUGCUGCAGGGAGGGAGCAGGAGCAGCUCCUUUGUCUCCACUACCUGCUCAAGCCCCGUCACAGCAGCCCCAGGGCUGAUCCAGGGAAGGUGGGAGAGGCACAAACAACACCACAGUGGCACAGCACAAAAGUUUAUUUUGAAUCCCAAAUAUUUAUGAUCAACACCUGGUAAAUGGCCAGUGAAAUACAUUUGAUGGUGUCAUUAAUCUGCUAUAAA